GCCGGGCUAUUGAUUCAGGGGAAGGGUUUGAGUGAUGCACAGGGUGAUCAGGGUUGUUGGUUCCGGGUGAGGGGGGCCGUGUCGGUGCCAUACCAUCGUGCUGCGCGCCGAGGGCCGGUUCUGCUACGAUAGCCGGGCCGGCAGGGAGACUCUCCGUGCCGAAGGAGAGGUCUGCAGGAGGAAGUUGUUGGAAAACAGGCCUCAUAAUGGAAACUGUUGCAAUUUCAACCUUGCUAUAAUUGCUGCCACCUAGGAUAACUGGAAAAGUAAUGACACCGUUCAAAAGUUGCCUAAGUAUUUCCAAUCUGAUUUCGACUGGCCUUUGGGGGUGUUGAAGAAAAAAAUAAUGUUGUUCAACAUAGUGUAAGCUGUUCGGAAGAAAAGUGGAGAAUUUGAUACAUGUUUAUAUUUUGAGACUCCUGAUGAAAGAAUAUUGAUUAUUGCAUUGGAGCCAAGGUAGUUGUGAUAUGUCGAAAUAGAUAUUUAUCAUAUUUAAUAAACACGUUACACUCAAGUGGGCAGCAUAAGAUUGGAUAAUCUCUAGACUAGUAAAUAUUGUUUUUAAGGGCUUUGGUGUAGUAAGUGAUGUAACAGGUGUGUACAGUGUUGUCACGUUGUACCUUUUACUGUGUUUUGUUUUUGUUUUUAAAUGAGAUGUUAUGUUUUUGCAUCUCUUGGGGUGCGUUUUAAUAUCUUCCAGUUUUUUAUUUUUCUUGUAGUAAAUGAACAUAAUUUUUAAAUAAAUGGGAAGGAGAAACAUGGGACUUUUUUCCUAGUCCUGAAAGAUGCUGUGAAAAAAAGGGAACCAAACACCUUCACCAUCUCAUGACUGUCUUGAGCAACUGCAAUAUAAACCUGAGUGCUGUCUUGCCCUGGCUAAGGGUGUCUUAUCAACGGAUCAUGUCCUGAUUUUGCCGGUUGCAGGUAGGGUUAUAGCACAGCAGUGUAAGAAUACAACCUCAACUGCUUUGAAAGGGGACAAGUCACAUUUAAACCUAAGCAUAGGCAAACUCCCCUCUUCUUUUUUUCCUUCUUGGCAUUCCACAUGGUAGAUAAAAAUUCCGUGAGCAGUAGAUGGGGAACAGGACAAAAGUAAAACCCCUGUGACCACUUAAAUGGCCACUUGAAUAUGCUAAUUUUUCCUGUUACAGCAAGUGCACAGAGCUGAGUUUGUUGAAGGACAAUGACAAUAGACAAGAACAUUUAUUGGGAGCUUCAUAUAAUUCAGGAGGCUUUCCUCUCUAUUUGGGGUACUGAGAUAUACAGCACGUACUUUUAAGCUUUUCUGCCUGACCAAAUCUUUGGUCAGUGUUCACAAACAUGGAUGGUCAGUGACCAGUUUCUGCUGAACUGAUUAUGGAAGGGUGCAUUGUGGUGGUUUUCUGCCUGGCGGAUCUGUGACAGUGUCAGAGCAGCCUCAACCUACCACAAAGAGUAUAAAGGAGAAGGACAGUCAUGAAAACAUUUCCAGAACUUUUCGUUUUCAGUUAGUCUUCCAGCUCCUACAAGGCAGACCUGCCUCAUAAGUUUAAGUCUGUAGAGACAGGUGAUCAUCUGUCUCACAUGAUGACAGACAGUACUGAGGGGUGUGCAAACCUCCGUGAUGGAUUUAUUGCCUUAUCUAGAAGAAUAGUAUGCUUUGUGUCUUUUUCUUAUUGUGUCAUCCAUCUCCAGGUGAUUCCUGUACCACUCACUGUUGUGCUACUGAAGACAUUAAAGAGUCUUCUAUUGUACAAGUGCAAAAACAACAGAUCGAAUUACUAGAAAUCCCAGAGCACUCUGAUAUCACGCAAGCGAGACAUAGACUUCAUUCAAGAGGCAAUGAGACCUAUUCUUCAGUGGAUGUCCAGUUUGCUGCAACUGUUUGAACUCGUCCCCACCUGCACCAGGGGUUCUGGUGUCCCAGCUCUGAGGCCUGGUCUACACUACAGAGUUUGUUUGUUUGCAAGGCAGCUUACGUUGACCUAAUUCUGUAAGCGUCUACACUAAAAUGUUGCUCCCGCCGAUGUAACUUGCCCUCUCCGCCCACUUAGUAACUCCACCUCCACGAGAGGCAUGGUGCUUAGGUCAACAUAGUUUGGUUGACACAAUAUCAGUGACACUGCAUUACUUAUGUCUACUUUAGUGGCUUCCAGGAGGUGUCCCACGAUGCCCCAGCAUAACUGCUCUGGUCACCUUUUAGAACUCCGCUGCCUGGCAGUCAGGUAUGCAUGUACAUGUCCCUCCCCCUUUAAAGCCCCACCAAUUUUAAAUUCUAUUUCAUGUAUGGUUGGUAUAGAGAGCUCAAAUAGCAACUGCCCAGCUGACCAUGUUGGCGCCACGCAGCAAAGGUGCUCUUGCCAGGAGUACACAGCAGGUGGUGGAUCUCCAUGGUCUGUGGGGAGAAGAGGCUGUGCAGGCACAGGUCUGAUCCAUCUGUAGAAACGUUGACAUCUAUGGCCAGAUCGCUGGGGGCAUGGCGGAGAAGGGCUACAACCAGCACAUGCAGCAGUGCCAUGUAAAAAUCAAGGAGUUGCUGCAGGUGUACCAGAAGGUAAGGGAGGCAGACUGUCACUCUGGUGUGGAACUGCAGACAGGCUGGUUCUACACGGAGCUGCAAGCCUUCCUUGGGGGAGACCACCACCACAAGCCCCGUGGAUAUUUCAGGGGAGCUGGAAGCAGCGGCCCCUGCAGUGCACACUGAGGAGGAGGUGAUGCACGAGGAGUAGUAGUUUUGGAGGACAGGCGACUGGGGGAAUGCAGUGGUGCAGUGAGCCAGGACCUCUUUCUGACCGCCGGAGAGUCCCUACUAUCCAGCACCGGCGAGCCUGAUGCAGGGGAUGGAACCUCUACUGGAAAUGUGGCCUUGAGGGUCUCUCCAUCCACACCACUGGAGUGGCUCAGAUGAUGAGAAGAAAGGGGAUGAGGGACAUGUUCCACGAGAUCCUGCAAGCCUCUGGUGUUGCACAUACCGAGCAGAGGGCUUGGAGGAGCACCCUUGUGGACAGAAUGGAAAGGGAUAGUGCAGAGAGGAGAAACACAGAGGAAAAGGACAGACACAUGCAGCAAGUCAUGUUAGCGCUUCUCAAGCACCAGAUGGACAUGCUGGAGAUUCUUAUAGACCUGCAGGUCCAAGUAAUCCUUGCUUGCCUCCUGCUGCAGUCUAUCGAUAACUGCAUUCUGGGACCUCCCUAUGCUCCCUGCCCCUACAUUCCACAUAUGUUUCAUGGCCACUGCAUUACCCCUACCACUCCACCCCGAGGGAGAGUACACACAAUCAGAGCUGCACGUACACUGACCUAUGAGAGAGACAGUUGGUGUAUUUGUGUUUGAAAUGAGAAUGACUGUUCUUUCCCCGUCAAAGGUUCUUUUCCCUGUAUUUAUAUAGUUUCAUUCAGUUACAGUUAUUUUUGUUUGCAUGAGUUUGGAAUAAAAGUCUAUUUAUGGAAA
Non-coding RNA from Chrysemys picta bellii (western painted turtle), 3429 nucleotides. The record is from RefSeq and is a predicted model, not a curated record. Lineage: Eukaryota; Metazoa; Chordata; Testudines; Emydidae.